Molecule: ribosomal RNA, 439 nt
Filed under: uncultured bacterium
Lineage: Bacteria
Description: partial 16S ribosomal RNA
Rfam family: Bacterial small subunit ribosomal RNA
Source: RNAcentral
CUACGAGGGGCUCCAGUGAGGAAUAUUGCACAAUGGGGGGAACCCUGAUGCAGCAACGCCGCGUGAAGGAUGACGCAUUUCGGUGUGUAAACUCCUUUUAUAUGUCAAGAAAAUGACGGUAGCAUAUGAAUAAGCACCGGCUAACUCCGUGCCAGCAGCCGCGGUAAUACGGAGGGUGCAAGCGUUACUCGGAAUCACUGGGCGUAAAGGACGCGUAGGCGGGUUGGAAAGUCAGGUGUGAAAUCCUACAGCUUAACUGUAGAACUGCACUUGAAACUUCUAAUCUAGAGUAUGGGAGGGGGAGAUGGAAUUAGUGGUGUAGGGGUAAAAUCCGUAGAUAUCACUAGGAAUACCUAAAGCGAAGGCGAUCUCCUGGAACAUUACUGACGCUAAGGCGUGAAAGCGUGGGGAGCAAACAGGAUUAGAUACCCCAGUAGUC